GACGAACGCUGGCGGUGUGCUUAACACAUGCAAGUCGAACGGUAAAGCCCUUUCGGGGGUACACGAGUGGCGAACGGGUGAGUAACACGUGAGUAACCUGCCCUCAUCUCUGGGAUAACAGUCGGAAACGGUUGCUAAUACUGGAUAUGAGCUUGCAAGGCAUCUUGUGGGUUGGAAAGAUUUUUUUUGGUUGGGGAUGGACUCGCGGCCUAUCAGCUUGUUGGUGAGGUAGUGGCUCACCAAGGCUUCGACGGGUAGCCGGCCUGAGAGGGCGACCGGCCACAUUGGGACUGAGAUACGGCCCAAACUCCUACGGGAGGCAGCAGUGGGGAAUAUUGCACAAUGGACGGAAGUCUGAUGCAGCAACGCCGCGUGCGGGAUGACGGCCUUCGGGUUGUAAACCGCUUUCAAUUGUGACGAAGCUUUUUUGUGACGGUAGCAGUAGAAGAAGCACCGGCUAACUACGUG
This 468-nucleotide ribosomal RNA is filed under the name uncultured bacterium. Its description in RNAcentral is "partial 16S ribosomal RNA". It matches the Rfam family "Bacterial small subunit ribosomal RNA", at positions 28 to 507 of the family's 1533-position model. The record is from RNAcentral.